RNAcentral lists this small RNA (117 nucleotides) under Pongo abelii (Sumatran orangutan). Its description in RNAcentral is "Metazoan signal recognition particle RNA (ENSPPYG00000030716.1)". The record is from Rfam by way of RNAcentral. Lineage: Eukaryota; Metazoa; Chordata; Mammalia; Primates; Hominidae.
ACCAGGCGUGGUGGCGCACGCCUAUAAUCCCAGCAUUUUGGGAGGUUGAGUUGGGAGGAUCACCUGAGGUCAGGAGUUCAAGACCAGCCUGGCCAACAUGGUGAAACCCCAUCUCCA